UUUUUUUGAAAUUCUCAUCAACAUUCGAGAUAACGGGGAAAAACUGGUCCUUUAGGUUAUCAAAAGAUUAAAAAUAAGUUUUUUUAAAUAAUCGUUUGCUGUCAUGAAAAUGCAAAUUUUUGAAAAAACAACACUAUUGACAAAGCUCCGCUCAAAAACGUUUUUCGUUAGCAAUAAUUGAUCGUUGCGAACAGAUAUAUAUAUUAAAUUCUCCUCUACAUCAUACGUUCUCAACUUCUCACCUACA
This is a non-coding RNA of Cinara cedri, 247 nucleotides long. The record is from the annotation of a GenBank genome assembly. NCBI's taxonomy places the organism in Eukaryota, Metazoa, Arthropoda, Insecta, Hemiptera, Aphididae.